This 468-nucleotide ribosomal RNA is filed under the name Triticum aestivum (bread wheat). Its description in RNAcentral is "partial small subunit ribosomal RNA". The record is from RNAcentral. Lineage: Eukaryota; Viridiplantae; Streptophyta; Magnoliopsida; Poales; Poaceae.
AUGAGCUUUUGGGGAGCAACAGUAAUUACAAGCUUAGCUAGCGCCAUACCAGUAGUAGGAGAUACCAUAGUGACUUGGCUUUGGGGUGGUUUCUCCGUGGACAAUGCCACCUUAAAUCGUUUUUUUAGUCUCCAUCAUUUACUCGCCCUUGUUCUUCCUUUUGAUUUAAACGUUCUCCCCCCGGGAGCUGCAGAAUUCUGGCAGGGGCAGCCCCCUUUUCCAGAUCAUGAAAAUGUGGUGGAGAGUGAUGAUUCAUCAACUGAUUCAUCAGGGAGUUCAUCUGAUGAUUCAUCAACUGAUUCAUCAGGGAGUUCAUCUGAUGAUUCAUCAACUGAUUCAUCGGAUCUCGACACGGAUUAUGAUGAGCUAACUGAUGAUUCAUCAACUGAUUCAUCAGGGAGUUCAUCUGAUGAUAUGGACUGCUCUGAAGGAACACCCCCCCCCCUGAAGGGAAUGAAAGCCGUCUGA